CGCAUUCGCUUCCGCAAGGAAGAGGAAAGUCCGGACACCGCAGAGCAGAAUUCCGAUUGAAAAGUCGGGGGGAAACGGGCGCAAGCCUGUUUUUCACGGAAAGUGCCACAGAAAACAAACCGCCGGUCAGCCGGCAAGGGUGAAAAGGCGGCGUAAGAGACCACCGCGCCUCGGAGCAAUCCGGGCGGCACGGCAAACCCAAUUCGGUGCAAGACAGCGUAUGAAGAAGGGCUGCUCGCCCGCUUUAACUUCGGGUAUGUCGCACUCCGCAAGGAGACGCGCUAUGCGCGUAGAUAAAUGAAUGCUAUGGCGCGGGGAAACGCCUCCGCGCCGAAACAGAAUUCGGCUUACAGCUU
This 356-nucleotide RNase P RNA is filed under the name bovine gut metagenome. RNAcentral's name for it is "Bacterial RNase P class A". It matches the Rfam family "Bacterial RNase P class A". Rfam says of the family: Ribonuclease P (RNase P) is a ubiquitous endoribonuclease, found in archaea, bacteria and eukarya as well as chloroplasts and mitochondria. Its best characterised activity is the generation of mature 5'-ends of tRNAs by cleaving the 5'-leader elements of precursor-tRNAs. Cellular RNase Ps are ribonucleoproteins. The record is from RNAcentral.